GUCACAGUGGACUUGCAGGGCCGCCUCUCCUGCCCCCAGAUGAGCUCAGCCGCGCCACUGCCCUCACACUGUAAAGACCUGCUGCCACAGCCUCGGCUUCUGAUUUACCUCCCCUGGAUCACGCUGUGGGUUUGGCCCAAAGCAGCCUGAGUUCAGCCCCAAGCUACUGUGUCUUCUUGGCCUUCACUGAUUCUGCUAGCAAGGUCUCAGAGGGACUUGGGGGAGUGGGCAAGGGCUCCCCAAUCUCCAGCUCAGCACCCAGGACGCAGUCUGGAGAGGAACGCCUCAGAGAAGUUUUUCCCUCUUGGGCCACAUCUGUCCUAGAGUGGACCUUAGUCCGUCCUUUCCUACCAAACUGAUGUGACUGGUCCAAAUCCACAGUGUCAGCCUUCUGCUUCUCUGGCCGCCUUCCUGGCGGACAGCGCCACCAUCUGGCCAAAGUCUGUCCAUGACCUUAAGCUCUCAGCCUGGGCGCCUCCACUGCUACCCAAUCAGCUCUGCCUGCCCCUUGGCCCAGCCCUCCAAAAAACCGCGAAGCCAAGAGCACCUGAAAGGCACAGUGGUU
Molecule: long non-coding RNA, 565 nt
Organism: Cavia porcellus (domestic guinea pig)
Lineage: Eukaryota; Metazoa; Chordata; Mammalia; Rodentia; Caviidae
Exons: 3
Source: RefSeq, a predicted model, not a curated record